Molecule: non-coding RNA, 13159 nt
Organism: Punica granatum (pomegranate)
Lineage: Eukaryota; Viridiplantae; Streptophyta; Magnoliopsida; Myrtales; Lythraceae
Source: RefSeq, a predicted model, not a curated record
UAAAUUCUCUCAACUAUUCAUUACUUUUACCCACUUUUUCUCAUAAUUCAACAACACAAUCAUUACGAUUCCAAAUAAAUAUAAUUAUUUAUAGUUGGAGUGGAGCGGAGUUAAAAUUUUCAUUUGCCAGACAAGACCGUCUUCCAAUGUGAAUUUUCUUUAUUCACAAUAUUCGAAACUGAGACUUUACUGAAGGAGAAAAGGUGCCAAACUACCUCAACCCACCUACAUUGUUUCAAAAUUUGAACUUUUAGAUUUAGAGAAAAUCCACUUUUUUUUUAACCUAGUCUAUGAUGACUAUGGCUAUGAUGAUGAUGACAAUGAGGAUGAUGCAGAUGAGGAUGGUGAUGGUGAAGAUGAUUAUGAUGAUAGCUGUCCAUGAUAUUUUGUGAUGCAUAUUUCAAUGUUGCUUUAUUGUCACCUGAACAUGCUUGAAUUUGAUCCAUGGUUGGAUUGAGUUCUACCUUGUGUAUGUAAUUGUGACAUUACUGAGGCUUAGAGCGCAUUUUCUGAAGAUGUAUAUAUAGAGGGUUACUGGUGGCAGCUCAACCAGCAGCCGUCUCCCUCCCCAUCGAUCUACAGCAAUUGAUGAUUUGUCUGUCCUCUGUUUUAGUCCGUUUCUGUUCAUGGAAAGUUCUGGAUGAUCCUUUUUGAUAUUCAUAUCAAUAAUUUGUCUUGUCUUCUUCUUCUGCUGCUGCUCCACCUCCCAGAGAACUGGCUCUGCUCCCAGAGAAGCUGGCAGCUGUCUGUUCCAUUUACUCGCCCUUCUCUGCUCUCGGCUAAGUUUCCAACGGUGGCCUCUUGCACCCAACAGGUGGCUGCCCUUCUCUGGUCAGAGGCAGAGCUACAUGUAGAUUUCUUAAAAAAAUUUAUUCUUACUAAAUAUCCAAUUUUCGAAAGUCUUAUCAGAUUUUUCUGGGGUUAAGUGUGAAGCAAAUGAGUGUGCAACAGGCUGGCCACUUUCGAUGGGGACUUUUCAGCAGGGGAAAGUAUUGAACGUGUUGAAGCUUAAAUUGCAUUCUCUGGACACAUUUGAGAGGGUUACUGGUGGCAGCUCAAGCAGCAGCCGCCUCCCUCCCGUUGAACUGUUGGCACUGGUGGCUGCCUUUUUUGAUUGGAGGUGGAGCUGAUGAUUUCUGAAUAGCAUUGUUUUCUUUUUUGACAAGUGCCCUCUCUAAGAGCGAAGCAUGCAAUGGAUGAUGAACCCGCGACCUAUAUAUGGUAGUAGAGAACAGACAACAAGAGAUGAGAUCAUCCAUUCUGAAUCUACAUAUAUAAAAUAUAUAUGUAUAUUCUUUAAGGGUUGGAGCUCAAUGUUAUAAAUGAAGGGGUGAUGAGAAAUGGACCUGCCUGUUGUAUGGCGUGGUGGCUCUGAAAAGCUAAAGCCACGUCAGAAAUCAAAUCCGAGCCUCAGCAACUGAAGAUGGCUCUUUCUUGACCCGGAGCCAGAGGGCAGUAAUAUCUUUAGUGGGUUGUUUGGUUGUUUGGUUUCAAAGUAGGAUUUUAAAAUCCUACUUUAACUUAAUUCUACCCACAACAAAACAAAAUAACUUAUACAAAGUCAAAGGUUGGGCCCCAUUUAUACCACUCUUUUUCCACAACAAAACAAAAUAACUCAUACAAAAUCAAAGGGUGGAUCCCAUUUAUAUCACUCUUUUUCAAAAUCAAAAUCUGAUUUUAAAAUCCUACUUUGAAAUCAAACAUAACAUAUAUUUCUUAUUUCAGCAGAGAUGGCUCUGCUCUAGAGAAGCGGGUGGCUUUGUGUUCCUAGUAGCUGCUUAGUUGCCCUUCUCUGGUUUGCUCAUUAGUUUAAAAUUGACUAUUUGUUCUUAUAAAAGGCAUUAAAACAGCAACCUAUAGUCAAUGGUGGGGAGCCGUUGAUUUCUGAGAAAUCUUUAACAUUUAGGCUUGCUUUAUAGUGUUGUUGCUGAUGGGAAAGUACGGACAUAAAAUUUCUGAAAAGUAGUGGUUGAUUUUACAAGAAUCUAAAGUGUUUCUGACAGAGAAAUUAGAAUGCCAGAAGAUAUUCAUGCUUGUGUCAGUACUACGGCAUGGUGGCUUGAGGGCGGUAGCCAGCCAUGGCAGGGUUUCUCCUGUCCUUUCUUUCUUUGCCUGAGAAAGUCUUAAUGUGAGCCCUUGGCCAUUCAUGUCAUGCUUUCUUUCCUAUUUAUCUAGUUUCAUCACAGGAUAAAUAUCUCUUCUACUCCACUAACUUUAUUGGGGUAUAUUACUUAAUUGGUACAAAUCCUUUUAUGAGUUGCACAGUUGGUACAAAAACUUAUUUUUGUAACAAUUUGAUACAAAAGUGUUGCAAUCAACUACAUUCUGUCAAUUUCGUAUUAACAGCGUCGGCAUAUUCUGACGUGGCAUCUGACCCGUCAAAUGGUAUCCGACGUGGCUCAAACUUUAAAACCAAAAUUCAAUUUUCAAUAUUUAAAUUAAAUUAAAUUAAAUUAAAAAAUCAAUAAUAUAUAUAUAUAUAUAUUUUAAAAAAGGCCAGCUGAGGCGUCCCCAACCCUGUCUGUGCUUGUUUGCAUCGAAGCAAGGAACGGUUUGAGCUUUUGUUUGGUUCACUUUCGAUUCUUCUGAUGGAGCUUCCCCUGGCUCUGGCAUCACCAAGGUCAGCUGUGUACGAGGCUGUGAUGAUAAAUGGCGGAAGAGAAAUUGAGAGUAAUUCAGGCCAAAAAUCAGAGAACUGUCCCUAUCUUGGCGUGGCGGCUCUAGAGAGAGCUGCAGCCAUGGCGGGGUUCCUUCCCAUUGAUCUGCCUGAGGAAAUAUGAAUCUGAGCCUCUCAUUGAUCGUUCAACUGUUUCUGUUUCUUGCAGAAAAUCAGCUGAUAUUAACUGCCCGUUUGGUUUUACAAUUCAUUUUAAACUCUACUCCACUUAUCUUCAAUUUAACAAUACAAUUAUUACUUUUCCUUUUUUUAACUAUUCAAUUCAAUUUUUAAUACUAAAUUCUCUCAACUAUUCAUUACUUUUUUCACAAUUCAACAACACAAACAUUUUACCUCCUUCCUAUGUAGGAAUCUUGGAUCCUUUGAUCAAUCAUGUUAACAUGAAAACUGAAGCAUAAUCUGGAAAUGAUGGUGGUGCGUUUGGUUUUAGAGUUAAAUAAUUUUGAUUUUGAUUUUGAUUUUGAUUGUGGAAAAGGACAAAUGAGAUGAUAUUAUAAAUUUGACUUGGGAAACGUGUAUUUUUUUUUGUGUAGUGGGUAAAGUUAAAAUCAAAAUCAUAAUUUUAAAAUCAAACUCUCAAUACAAACACAACCUUAAUUAUUGUGAUCAUGGUAAAUUGCACCAAUGCCCCCCUUCGUUCUGAUCAAUUGGAACUAUUAUCAUUAUUAUAAUUUGUGCAGAAAGAACAGGUAGAAAUUGUUGAGGCAAUGAUCAUUUUUAUAGGAGAAAAAAUGGAAGAAAUUUUGCCGGCAGAGAGUUGUCCAUUGCUUGGCAUGACAGUCCAGGGAGCUGCAACCAUGGCGGGGCUCCUCCCCGUUGUCUGAUCAAAGGUGAGCCUGCCUUAGAUACUGAAUACAACACUAAAUUGUCCCAUGGAAACUAAGGCAGUUUGAGUUGCUCAGAGGCUUCUUAAGGUUUCCAGUUUUCUUUUCAACCCAUUAGCUUGAGAAUGAUUCUCAGGCGUCAGAGAAACUGAAAUUGGCGUAUCUACUCGUCCUUUCAGGUUUCUAAUAGACAGUGGAGCUGAUUUAGAAAGCUUCUGCUUUUCAAAAUUCACUAGCUUUUCUGUCCGCCCGAAAAAGGGGAACAACGUGAGGCAAAGAGACGAAAUAGCAUGUCUGGGGUGGCUUAUAAAUCCCAGCUUCGUUAUUCAGAAACUACUUUUGAAAGCCACUAGAUCUUGGUGAUGGAAGUUGCUGACAGCUUUCUGAAACUACUUUUUUUUUAAGCAAAGCCAUCUUCUUUGUCUUGUUAGAUACCAGAAAGACACAGAUAGAAGCUCCAGCCAUCCCAGACAUGCUCUAAGUCUGUAUAUGCAAGUACAAAUUUUAUUUUCUCAUACCAAAAGAUUUGUUUCCAAAGGGAGAAGCCUCUAGUUUUGCCCUGAUACGGGAGCUGAUGACUUAAGGAAAAAGUUUUUGGUUUCAGGAAUUUCAUGGUCAUUUUAAGUUUUGAAACUUACCAGUCUAUCAGGUCACCAGAGAGCAGUAGCAAAUAUAGAUAUGCUUGCUGAUAUAUGUAUAUAUGUAUAGUUUCCUUUAAGAACCAAAAAUGUUCCUCGCUGACAAGACCCCAGCAUUAUCAGUGGUCUCCACUACCAAACCAGGCCUUAAAAUCUUCUGCUGCUUUCUGUGAAGGAGGUAGAAAAAGGUAAAAGAGGCGGUCACGAUUUGAGGGGAAGAAAACUUGGUAUUAUUGUAGUCAAAGAGCAGACCAUACCUUGGUGUGGCAGCUUCUUAAAGCUGCAGCCAUGGUUUUGUAUCUUCAUUUGUCUGAUUAAUGCCAGAAUCUGAGCCUCUGUAACAGGAGCCUAAAUAAUUACUAGGGCCCACCACACAGGCUUGACCCUUUUUCCUGUUCUUCUACUUUCUCUGGCAAUCAUAUAGUGAGAGUGUCCGAUGGGUUAAAUGUGCCGCAAAUUGAUUUCUUUGUUCCUUGAGCAAUCAGUUCAAUUGGUCGAGUCUUUAGAAAUACUAUGAAAACAUUUAAUGUGCCGCAAAUUGAUUUCUUUGUUCCUUGAGCAAUCGGUUCAAUUGGUCAAGUCUUUAGAAAUACUAUGAAAACAUUUUAAAAAAAGUUCACUACGUGCACCACCUCGUAUUUGGAAGUCCAAUGGGAGGUGGAAGUCCAAUGGGUCCCGGCUAAUGCAAGCUCGGGCCAGGUUAGCCUACUAAGGGGAAAAGCGCUCCCAAUUGUGGAUUUUCUCCAUUUACAAAACUUGAACUCGAGAUUUUGCUUCCUUUACCUUGCUUUAGAGGAAGAUGUGUUGAAUUACAUGAACCAAUCCACGUUGGUCACUGAGGCUUCGUUUGGAAGUGACUGCAGCUGGUCACGAAGGCAUUGUUUGCAAACGGAAAAAAUAAAUAUAUAAAAUUGUUGAUUUUCACAAGUUGUUAGACUUUUAUGGGGACACUAAUAUAAAUUGCGGAAAGUUAGCAUGUCUGAUUGAUUGUUGAUGGGUUUAUAGUAUAAGAAGAAGCAAUCUCAUAAAUUGCCAGUAUCUGAAGCAAUUUAGCGAAUUGUUUGUAUCUUGGCUUCACUACUCUAGGCCGGAGGUGCAGCCAUGGCAGGUUUCCUCUCUCUCUCUCUUCUCUUUGAAUGUGAGGAAAGAACAGAGAAGAAAAUGGUGAACAAAGACAAUUUUUCUGAAUAUGAAUGCAGAUGUUUGUGUUUAAUUUGUUUUGCUGCCAAAACCCAAAUGCAUGUAAAGCAAAAUCACCACCGUCUUUUUCCUCUUCAUCUUCAUGUGUAAACUUCAGCUUCUCUGCCUAUUCAUGAAAAUAGAGGAAAAGAGUAAAGAGGCGAUGAUGAUCUGUGUAGAAGAAAAAAUUGUAAUCAGAACUUAGCAGGCACAAGGAGCUGUCUAUAACUUGGCAUGGUGGCUCCAAGAAGCUGCAGCCUUAGCUCGGCUCCUUUGUCUGAUCAGAAGUCAGAGUCUGAGCCUCGUUAACUGAAGAUUACUCUUUGUGGGCAUUGGGAAUCAAGGAAUAUCCACUGGAGCCUUUCUGAGGGUUUUUUUGGUUCUCCAACUUAUUAGUUUGAGAAUUGAGGUUUUGCUCUUGAGAAGCCAUUGAUGGUGGCCUUCUCCAAAAAAACAGCAGAGCCAGUGAUUUCUCAAAUUAUUUGAUUUUGAAAGUUUCACCAGUUUAUCUCAAUGGAAUAACAGCAACAAGCAAGUACUAAUUUCUACAUGCACUUUGCUUGUAUGUGUGCCUUCCAAACCCAAAAACAAAAGCAAAGAUGCUUCUGUGAGACAUAUCAACAUCACCAUCAACUUCAGCAUCAUCAUCAUCUUCACUACCAAAGAGAAACAACAGAUACUUCUUCCUGCAGAGAUAGAAACUGUGGUUGUGGAGACUGAAAAUCGGAAAAUUUAAUCACAGGGAGGUAUUCGUAGUUUGGCAUGGUGGCUUUGAAAAGCUGCAGCCACUGCAGAGUACCGCUCAUGUACUGAGCCACCUAACUGGUUUUGUCAUCAAUGUUAUUGUUGUUGUUAUUAUUAUUGAAUGCAAAGUGAAAAAUCUGUCUCUCUGAUCCUGUUUACUUGUGAUGAUGGGAAAUGGAAAACUAUUAAAGCAUUAUUUGCUUAUGGAAGUUGUUGAUUCACCUGAUUCUGAUAUUGGAAAAGUGAGCUAUACUAUGAGGCAGUGAUGAUUAUGCGAACGAAAAUUUAUAAUAGACUCUGGACAGUGGCAGUCCAGGUGAGGUUCUUCUGGUGCUAUUCCUUUACUUGCCUAGAAAUAAAUCCCUAAAAUCUGAGCCUCCAACACCUGUUCUCUUCUGGUCUGAAUGAUCAUCCAAGUUCUCUUCUUCUCCCUUUCACUUAGUAUAUGAUUAUCUUGGAAUUUGGUUGUUCAUUGACUGCCUGCAUGGUAUCACAGACAUGCUACAAUUUAAUUCAUUUCAGUUAAAUUCUGUCUUGACGGUUGCUAAUGGCAUUAGUGUAUAUAUCAGAGAGGCAAUGGCAUCGUCUAUCAGGAAAAAUUAUUGGGUGAUUUUGUGAUUGAGACAAUUCUAUUAAUCUCGAUCUCCAUCUACCAGGUUGCCUCUAAUUUUAGUCUUUUGAAAGAUUAUUGACUUUGCAGAAAUGUGAAUCAGUGAAGCUGCUUCCAUCCAGAAAACUGAGGGCCCGUUUGGUUUCAUGAUCAGAUUUUAGAAUCAUGAUUUUGAUUUUAACUCUACCCACUGCACAACAAAAAUACACGUUUCUCUAGUCAAAUUUAUAAUACCAUCUCAUUUGUCUUUUUUCACAAUCAAAAUCAAAAUCAAAGUUACUUUAAUUCUGAAACCAAAUGCCCCCUGAGGCUCUUUGCUUGAAGCUAUUGAUGGUUUGUCUGUGCCCCCUCUGAUUCCUAUUUUCACUAGGGCCUGGGCUCUUCCUUUGACCAGUGAAGGAAUUAUAUAUUAAUCUUUCAAUGGGGAGUGAUGUAUUGCCCACUCUUUCCUUGUGCUGAAAGAGAACAAGAAGCUAAGAUAGAUAGAUAGAUAGAUAGAUAGAUACAUGCACAUACAUAUGGCUCCCCCAUACUUUCAAAUCGGCAAGGUAAGGGAUGGGGCUGUGAUGAUUAUGUUAUGUCUGGCAAAACUCAAAGAAUUGCCCGUAUCUUGGCGUGGCGAUUCGUAGGGUCGUGUCGCAGCCAUGGCAGGUUCCUCUCAUUGACUUCUUUGCCUGAAAAAAAUUGAAUCUGAGCCCUAAGCACUGAUCUCUUGCCUCUUCUUUUCCUCUCUGAAGUCUAUUAUCUGCUGCCAAGAGCCUUGAAAGCCAGCCUCUUCUCUCUACUACUGAAAAACCUUAAUUAACAGAAUUUUCUGGUUCUACCUGGCUUGUCACCCUUCGCUGAUGAUAGUGGAGAAUGGAGGUAGAUAAAAGGAGAUGAGGCUUUGCAAUGUGAUCAUCAGGCUUUUUGUUUUAGAAUGAGGCUCUGCUCUCAGAGAAGCCAUCACUCCAGCCAGUGAGCUGCUCUUCUCCGAUUGAUAGCGGAACUGAUGAUUUCUCAAAAACUUUGGCGCCCCUUAGUCAUGCCAAAAGAAAAUAAUAAUAAUAAUAAUAAUAAAGCACUUGUGUAUGUGCUUCCCCCACAACAAUGAUGUCCACCAUCAAUGUUGUCGUCUUGUCAUUGCCACUGCUAUGAAGCUUUUUUUUUGGAGAAGUAUGAAGUCGGAAUGUUUUCGGUGCAAAAGUAUAAAAUGUGAAGGGGCAAUAAGGAUUUAUGGAGGAGAAACAGAAAUUUUUACAGGCGCACAGAGCUGAGCAUAGCUUGGUGUGGCAGCUGCAAGAAGCUGCAGCCAUGGCGGGUUUGAUGAAUUUGCCUUUUAGAAGGGUAUCAUUUAUUGAAAGAUAGUCUGAGGUGUGGGGGAUGGACUGCAUUUUUGCUGUUGCUCUUAAUUAAUGCUGUGCUAAAACCUCAGGGUCCAUUCUUUAGCAUGUUCGGAAAAGCUUACAAAUCCCAGCUCUUCAUGUAGGGAUGCAAUUUUAGAGGUUCAGCUCUUCCUUCUUUGUCGGCAGUCCCUUGGUAUAUAAUAUUGAACAUCUGUGAUCGGAGGAUGAGCUGAUGAUUUCUCAAAAAUCUGUUUCCUGAAAGUCAUUGAUUUCUGAAAGUUCACCAGAUUCGUCUGGUAGUGAAAACCAUACGCUAUGAGAAGCUUAUGAGCUUCAUCUAUUCGUUCAUUCUUUCAUUCAAUUAUUCAUUUAUUUAUUUAUUUAUCUAUUAAAGAAUCCGUCCAGGAACAGGAUCUAUGCACCUGUGCUAUUUAAUUCUCCUGGCGAAAUGCCUGCUAUGUGGCAUGAAUCCGUAGGCAAGGAGGCGAUGAGGAUUCGUGGAGAAGAAUUGGAAGGAAUUUAUGCAGGCAUGAGAGUGCGUCCUGUAGCUUGGCAUGGCGGCUUCGAAAUGCUGCAGCCAUGGCAGGGCUCCUUUCGCAUUGUCUGAUCAAAGUUGGAAUCUGAGCCUUGGAGAUUCGCUUUGCAUGGCUGCCUUUUCCACGACAGGGAUCUUUCAAUUGCCUAAUCAAUGUCAAAACCCCAAGCUUUGCUCGUUCUCGGUUCACUGACUCAAGUCCUUGGUUUAACACUGGGGUCGCUAAACCACGGGGCGCAGUGGUUGCACUGAGUUGGGCUAGACCGAGGGGUCUGGAGGCCUGACCUUUCUUACUGUUGUAGAAAUUCCCUUUUUUUUCUGGAUACGAAAAUCAAAAUAAAUUAUUUUGGUUUAUUUUAUUUUAUUUAUUUUCCCGUACCAUCCGAAUUUUGGAAGCCCAAUGGGGUAUCAAUAUAUCCAGAUCUCAAUGAAGUCAGGUCGGCUCACUUAAAAAAAAAAAGAAAAAAAGCUCUUUCUAAUAGUGAAUUUUCUUAUUUACAAAAAAAAUCGUAUUUAAAUAUAUUUUUUUGGGUAGAUAAAACCAAAAAUUGUUCAGGGGGCAAAGAAAGGUAUAUAUAGUGGUUUUGAUUUCAGAGUUAAAAUUUUGAAUUUGUAACUUUGAUUUUGAUUUUGAAAAAAAAAAGGGGCUUGUGGACCCCAUCAAUUUUAUUGUGUAGUGUAUGAGAUUGUAUAUUGAAUAAUAUAUGAGGCUCAUCAGCUUGACUUUGAAAAUGUAUGUUUUGAAAAUGUAUGUUUUGUUGUGUAGUGUAUUGACUUAAAGUUAAAGUUUAAAAUUUAAAGUUUAAAAUAACGACUCCAAAAUAAAACGGAGCGAUAGAAUCUUUGAGCUAAUUCGCAUUGGCUUUUAAAUUUAUUUCUAUAAGUGGUAAAGAAAUGGCCAUACUCAUAUUUACCAUCAAUUCUGCGCGCCGAAAGAUGUGGAAAUCCCUCCCUGUGGAAGGGUAAAAUGGUCAGGUAACUUGAGGGUAAGAUGGUAACUGGACAGGCUACUGAAAGCAGGGCGCUAUAAAUGCGGUCGGAGCUUCCGCUAGGGUUCCUAAAGUUUUCCUCCACAAGCUCAUUAGUUUAAGUAUGAGGCUCUGCUCUCAGAGAAGACCUCUCAGGCGACGGCCACUGCCGUCUCCGGCGGCCCUUCUCUGAUCGGUAGCGGCGCCGAUGAUUAUGCACGAAAUGUUUUUUUUUUUUUUCUAAUUUCGUAACUUUUGCUGGUUCUCGUACCGGUGAAAGGGAAAGCGAAAGAGAAGGGAAAAAUAUCAAUGUCUGUCUCUGUGUGGGUAUGAUUUACGCCAUGCAGCUGCUUCAGCGAUAUGUAUAUAUGUAUAUAUAUAAUAUGAUAUAAUAAUUCUUCAUCAUCAUCGUCUGAUCUAUCAUCAUUGACAUUACCACCACUUAUCACUGCCUUCAGGAAACAAGCUCUCGCUACGAUGACCUUCUUCCUCUUCUUCUUCUUCCUCUUCUUCAUGUUCCUGUUCGUGUUAUUGAGAGGCGAUGACGAUGUAAUUUACACGGUGGUGAUGUUUAAGAAAUUGCAGGCGCAGAGAGCCGUCCGUAGCUUGGCGUGGCGGCGCUGAAAGCCGCAGCCAUGGCGGGACUCCUUCGACAUGUCUGAUCAAAGGCGAAUCCGAGCCUCCAGCACCUUCCGGUUCCAUCAUUUUCGUUUUUCUCGACUUUUUUUUUUCAUUAGUUAUUGUUUGCCCCAACUAAAAGCUUAAUUUUCAUCCGAAAUAAUAUAUUAAAUGAUUAAUUCGCACAUUAAUUAUCUUUUUCCCCAAAUUCCAACAUCUCUACUCAAUUUCAAAAAAUGAUGUUUCAGGAUUAUCCUUUCGGUUCCCAGCUGGAAUCUACUUUCUAUAGUUAUUAUAAGAGUUGCGAAACCAUUCUAUAGUUAUCGUAAGUGUUAUUUGGUUCGCGGUAUUGUAAGAGUUGACUGUCAAUUUGGUCCCUGAAAGAAAGCUAUUUGGUUCGCGGGAAGAUCUAUCCCUGAAUGGAAGCUAUUUGGUUUGUGGGAAGUUCUGAAGUGCAAUACAAUCACUUCUUUAAACCUUGAUAAAUGAAUAUAUGGUUUGCUGCUACGGAUUGAAUUGAAUGGAGUUGAGAGUAGCUGAAAUAUGAUCAAGGAAUGAGGCUCUGCUCUCAGAGGGGUGACCAUGGUGGCUUCCAUCUGGUUCCCCUGGCCUUCUCGGAUUGUUAGCGGAGCCGAUGAUUUCUCCAAGCCUGGCCUUCACAUAUUGUUAGUUAGCGAUGCUGAUGAUUUCCCAUGCUUGAUGCCGACUCUCGUUUUCGAAAGCCAGGCUUUGUUUUUUGGAUAAAAUAUUUUACUCUAUCCAUCUCAACUCAAUUCUUUCUCAAAUUCAACACCACAAUCAUUGCUAUUUUUUUCGUUUUUUCUAUUUGAUAAUAAUUUCCUACUCAUACGUUUUCCUAACUAUUUUUUAUAAUCAAUUUUUUAAUAAUAAAUUCUUCAUGUACUUAUAUAUAUAUAUAUAUCUUUUCACCAAUCUAUAUAUUUUUCAACACUUACAAUCAUUAAAAAAAAUUAAAUUCAGUUGGAUCAUGAUCCAACUUGAAAACCAAACGCAAGCGAUCAAUUUCUCUAACCAGGAGAAAGAAGAACCGGAAAGAGGAAAAAAGGAAAAUGAUGAUUUCACUUUGAAGUGGAAAGGGCCUUGGAAGGAUAUAUGUAUUUAUGUGUGUGUGUGAAUAUAUACGUAUAUGCAUGUGUACUUCAUCAUCGAUCCAAAUGCAAAUCUUCACUGCUCUGCUUCUCAGCUGCUUUGUAUGAUUGUCUUCUCAAUCAACAAGGACUGAACAGAUGCCCCGUUUGAAAUCAAUUCUUGCAAGAAAUUGAUUCCAGCUGAAUACAGCUCUACCUCCUCCUCCUCGACAACAUCGUGUAAAGAGGUGAUGAUGAUUAGAAAAUUGGGAAGAGUUGUGCAGGCAGGGAGAGCCGUCCGUAGCUUGGCAUGGCGGCUCUGGAAAGCCUGCAGCCAUGGCGGGGCUCUUUCAGCUGUCUGAUCAAAAGCGAAUCUGAGCCUCAAUCGAACACAACAUUGGUGAUCCCAUUCCCUUGUUCCCAUUAAGUUAUGUUCUUUUGCUAUUGAUGAACUGAUUUUUUGGGGAGGUCUUCUUUUGUCCUUUGCUUGAUUGAUUCUUGUUAUUAAGAAGAAACUCUCUUAUUAUUAUUAUUAUAUUUUUACUUACCCAACAAAUUUUCUUAUUAUUUCUAGCUGCUCCUUGGACUUCGCUUGUGAAAACUCCUUUCUUUUUUUGUAACCAGUAUUCUGAAUUAUAUUUAUAGUGGAUGAUUUCUGUAUGUUGAAUUAUUGAAAUGAGAUAUUCCAGUUCCGCCAAAGAAAUUAUUAGAAUCAGAUUGUUAUUCCAAGAAACAUGAUGAGGGUAUGGCAUUUCCUACGCGCGGUGACUGAUUCUUUAAGUAAUUGCAGGCACAGAGAGCUGUCCGUAUCUUGGCAUGGCGGCAUCAAGAAGCUGCAGCCAUGGCGGGGCUCCAUCAAAAGGUCUGAUCAAAGGCAAAUCUGAGCACCCCGCAUCUUUCGAUUCAUUAACUUCAUUUUCUUGUUUGGGUAAACUUCAUUACUUCAUCUUUUUUACUCCUCUUCAUUACUUCAUCUUCUUCUUAUACAUUUUCCCUCGUUUUUGAAACCUUAUAUCCGAAUUAAUGAAUUCUUCUGACUAUUGAGAAAGAGGAUGUAGCGCAACGGUGCAUCUUCUUGCCUGUCAACCAAGAUGUUUUAUGUUCAGUUUGCAUUGUUGGAAUACUCGUGUACCUUAAUUAGCGUAUUAGGUUAUCUACUUCAUUGUAUUGCAAGUAUGAUUAGUUUGAGAGUGAGAUCUGCUCUUCGAGGGAUGUCCAUGGUCUGGUCAGCCUGGCCUUCUUGGAUUGUUAACGGAGUUGGUGAUUUCUCAUUCUCAACCGGACCCUCGUUUUCAAAGUGUUACCAGUUUUCUUCAUCGCGAGAAAAAGAAACCGAAAAGAGGAGAAAGAAAAUGGUGAUUUCACUUUGAAGCGGGGCUUGGUUUCAGCUGGCCUUGGAAACCAAGCCCCUUCAGCUAUGUACUUGUGUUAUAUAUAUAUAUAUAUAUAUAUUUAUGUAUGUAUAUGCGUGUGUGCGUGGGCAUGCAUACCAAAUGCAACCUUCACUUCUCUGCUAUGCAGCUUCCUAUGAUCCGUCUUUUCGAUGGGACAAGAACUUGAUAGAAGCCCCGCUUGGAAUCAAUUCAUUCUUUUGAGAAAUUGAUUUCAUCAGCUGAACUUAGCUCCUCCUCCUAGCUAAGAUUGUAAAGAGGUGAUGAUUUUCGGAGGUUCAGAAGAGAGAUGCUGGGAAGAGUGUACAGGCAGGGAGAGCCGUCUGUAGCCUGGCGUGGCAGCUCUGGACGGCCGCAGCCGUGGCGGCAGGGUUCCUUCAGCUGUCUGAUCAAAAGCAAAUCUGAGCCUCAAUGGAACACACACUGCCGAUCCCUUCUUUUCCCGUCAAGUUCCAUCUUCUGUUAUUGUUGAAGUGAUUCUUGGGGGAUUCAUUUGUUACUUGCUAGACUGAUUUAUGUUGUUAAUAAGAUAUUAAAGCUUUUAUUUGGAGCUCUUCAUUGA